This is a long non-coding RNA of Culex pipiens pallens (northern house mosquito), 2122 nucleotides long. RefSeq lists it as uncharacterized. The transcript is spliced from 2 exons. The record is from RefSeq and is a predicted model, not a curated record. Lineage: Eukaryota; Metazoa; Arthropoda; Insecta; Diptera; Culicidae.
CAGGUUUGACCUGCUAAACAGCGCGGAGAGGGAUUUUAUCCUUCGUUGAAGCCUUAUGACCCCGAUAAUUCCUAUCACAAUACUUCGCAAAUCUCACAUGUUUCUUAUAUAUUUUUGGAUGUUAGAGGUCAGAUUUGAAUGGUGAAAUGUUUCAUGAGCUACCGUAAAGGUAGUGAAUUCCGGUCCUGUGUUCGUUAUGCUUGGUUUGGAAGGUUCAGCUAGGCCGCACCGGUUGGGGACUCGCAAAAAAUUCACAAAUAAAACGAAUUUUUGAGUUGAAAAAAAAAAAAUCCUUGCUCUCAAGUAUUUUUUUUACCCGAGCUGGGGGAGAGUGUAACCGUCGGGACUUCACUAGUGAAGGUCUCCGCGGCUAUCGCGUAGUAAAUUCGUAAAAAUACCAUGCUUGGGUAGUGUUUGUGUGUCUGGUGGUUUUCUCCCAGCGAAGACCCGGCUCAUCGUCCAACAACAACAUCCCAGUGUGCAGCCAGCGCUACCAACGAACUUCCAUAACCCGCCACCAGAGGAGCUGUUAGCUGUGGGCGGGGAGGCGAAAGGAGUCGUGACAGGAAGGAUGGGGAUCAGGGGUGAAGGCUCGGAUGAAGAUGGGGAGGCAAGGGGAAGAACUAGGACCGCCAUUAUUCUGGGAGUCCGCGGAAUCGUUCUAUUCCCCGGACGACGCCAAAGCGAACAGAUCGAUCGACUACCAUCUGUUCCGCCAAGUUAUUUUUAAUAGUGCCCAAUAGUGCCCAUCAGUGCCCAGCAUCACCAGCUGGACCAGUAGGAGAGCAACACCGAGUUGCUAGAGUGCAGGAGUUGAUUUGGAGGACACCAGGACCCCUUGUGUUUGGUGAUAACCGUCUCAGUACCAACGACGGCUCACCCGUGUCGCGGACACCUACCGGGGACUCAAACCACCUCGAGUCUCCCCGAACGCAACCGUUACCGGGAUAACCUGCUCGACCUGUGCCUAUCCGGGGAUUCCGGGCACCCUCGACGGUGUACCGAAGGCCACAGCCGUAACCAUCUGUGGUGAGGCCAGGACGAGCAGCGGACGGGUCCAUCGACGACGCGCCGUAGGAGAGCCACCUUGGACGGUGCAGCGACCUCAAAUUUAAAUCAUUAAAUUUGUCCAUUUUUCGAACCUCACCACAGUUCUGAUCAUGCGCGCUUACGCAAGCAUAAAUAAUUUUACACGUCGACUCGCGUUGCGCGACAAAUAAUUAAGCUUAUGUACAGGUGUGGAUCAUGAGUCAUCCUCACCUGAAAAGCCCUUUAUUAAAUUUCGCCAAUUGUUAGGCAAUCAAAAAAAAAAUGGUUAAGCUUUCAAUUAUGAAUGUGCGAUGUUAUUACACAGGGGAAAUUGAGGGUGUGGCUUAACCAAAUUCAUUGACAUGUUUGUUCAAUGGAGAAUUCGACCUUCUCAUUAUUGACCAACAUUUUGGAGAAUGUUUUAGGAACAUAAUUUUGAUAUUCCAAUAACAUAAUUUAAAGUUUCACGACAAUGGUUCGAACCCAUGACUUCCGAUUUUGAGGUGUACUCACUACACCAUACGGAAAGUCACGAAGAAUUGCAGAGGUCUGCAUAAUUUAAUUCAUGAGGUUCAUCGAUGCUUCUCAUCGAAACGGACCACUUUUAGUAGAACAAAAUUUAGUAGAGUUUUCGGGGACUGACUAUAAAAACUCCAAAAUUCUUGAGGAGGGCAGUUAGUUCCAGUUAGUUCCAGUCAGUUCCAGCCAGUUCAAGCCCAGUCCAGUUCCAGAUCCUGAAGAAGCCCCAGACCAGCCGGACCCGCCAGCAGCCACCAGUAGUAGAGGCCCCAGUCCAGCCGGACUUAGCGGUGGAGGCCGCAGUCCGCCGGGACUUAGCCGCUGUGAAGAGUCCGCCGGGACUUAGCCGCCGUGAAGAGUCCACCCGGGACUUAGGAGUUCGGGGUCUGGCAUGGCUCGGCGAAGAGGUCUGGAGGACAAGUCUGGCUUCAACGUAGAGAAUUGGCUCGACGAAAGUCUUAAUGAAAUUAGCAACAAAAAGUUGAGUGAUGUGAUCGUGCGCGUAAAAGUUGAGAGUGUUACCGCAAAAAUGUAAUCUUUUAAAAAAGUGUAAUACACAAAUAAGUGAAGUUUA